Molecule: ribosomal RNA, 497 nt
Filed under: uncultured bacterium
Lineage: Bacteria
Description: partial 16S ribosomal RNA
Rfam family: Bacterial small subunit ribosomal RNA
Source: RNAcentral
GAUGAACGCUGGCGGCGUGCCUAAUACAUGCAAGUCGAGCGAACAGACGAGGAGCUUGCUCCUUUGACGUUAGCGGCGGACGGGUGAGUAACACGUGGAUAACCUACCUAUAAGACUGGGAUAACUUCGGGAAACCGGAGCUAAUACCGGAUAACAUGUUGAACCGCAUGGUUCAACAGUAAAAGACGGUCUUGCUGUCACUUAUAGAUGGAUCCGCGCCGCAUUAGCUAGUUGGUAAGGUAACGGCUUACCAAGGCAACGAUGCGUAGCCGACCUGAGAGGGUGAUCGGCCACACUGGAACUGAGACACGGUCCAGACUCCUACGGGAGGCAGCAGUAGGGAAUCUUCCGCAAUGGGCGAAAGCCUGACGGAGCAACGCCGCGUGAGUGAAGAAGGUCUUCGGAUCGUAAAACUCUGUUAUUAGGGAAGAACAAAUGUGUAAGUAACUAUGCACGUCUUGACGGUACCUAAUCAGAAAGCCACGGCUAACUACGUG